CUUAGCAUAUCAAUAAGCGGAGGAAAAGAAACAAACAAGGAUUCCCCUAGUAACGGCGAGUGAAGAGGGAAGAGCCCAAGAUUGAAAGCUGGCGUCUUUGGCGUCCGCAUUGUAAUCUCAAGAAGUGUUUUCCGCUUCGGACCAUGCCUAAGUCCCUUGGAAAAGGGCAUCAUAGAGGGUGAUAAUCCCGUACAUGGCAUGGAGCGCCCGAAGCUUUGUGAUACACUUUCUAAGAGUCGAGUUGUUUGGGAAUGCAGCUCAAAAUGGGUGGUAAAUGCCAUCUAAGGCUAAAUAUUGGGGAGAGACCGAUAGCGAACAAGUACAGUGAUGGAAAGAUGAAAAGAACUUUGAAAAGAGAGUUAAACAGUACGUGAAAUUGCCAAAAGGGAAGGGUAGGAGGUCAGAGAUGCGGUCUGGGAUUCAGCCUUGCUUUUGCUGGGUGUUUUUCUCAGAUUGCAGGCCAACGUCGGUUUUGGGCGCUGGAGAAGGGUGGAAGGAAUGUGGCACCUCUCGGGGUGUGUUAUAGCCUUCUACUGGAUACAGUGACCGAGACCGAGGACAGCAGCGUACUCGCAAGAGCGGGCCUUCGGGCACCUUUACGCUUAGGGCGUUGGCAUAAUGGGCCCUCUACCACCCGUCUUGAAACACGGACCAAGGAGUCUAACAUGUAUGCGAGUCUUUGGGUGGCAAACCCAUAGGCGCAAKRAGUGGGAUCCGCAAGGUGCACCAUCGACCGAUCCUCACGUCUUUUUAAGUCGUGGAUUUGAGUAAGAGCAUACCUGUUGGGACCCGAAAGAUGGUGAACUAUGCCUGAAUAGGGUGAAGCCAGAGGAAACUCUGGUGGAGGCUCGUAGCGGUUCUGACGUGCAAAUCGAUCGUCAAAUUUGGGUA
This 891-nucleotide ribosomal RNA is filed under the name Ustilago levis. RNAcentral's name for it is "LSU rRNA". It matches the Rfam family "Eukaryotic large subunit ribosomal RNA", at positions 33 to 917 of the family's 3401-position model. The record is from RNAcentral. Lineage: Eukaryota; Fungi; Basidiomycota; Ustilaginomycetes; Ustilaginales; Ustilaginaceae.